This 670-nucleotide long non-coding RNA is filed under the name Pongo abelii (Sumatran orangutan). Its description in RNAcentral is "lincRNA". Lineage: Eukaryota; Metazoa; Chordata; Mammalia; Primates; Hominidae. The record is from RNAcentral.
GUCACGUGCUUUGCAUGAAUCCUCACACGUCUCACCAGGGGCGGUCUCCCCGUUUCACCAGUGACUUGGUGACAACCAGCCUUGCUCAGGAAGCGGCAGCCGUGUCCUUUCUGUGUGCAGUGGGGUGUGGGUUGUGUGGAGCCGAGGUGUCUGUGAAGUUCACAGGCUGGGGUCGGAAUCCAUGGCCCCCGUCGCCGCUGCCACCCCCCAGGAUACAAGUGGAGGACAGAAAUGAGGCAGAAGUGAUAAGUUGAAGAGCAUGGCCAAGAAUUUUCCGAAACAGUGGAGAAACCUGGCAGACAUCAUCUUAGCCAAGUGGUAAACAUUAACAUCAGCAGUAAUGGGACAAGUUGACAUUGUGUGACUCCUAAUAUGGUACAGAGAAGAACAUCGCAUCUUUUCUGUGGUAUUCCCACCAAAGAUGCAUAAAUCAUGAGGAAACAGCAGACAAAUCCAAACUGAAGACAACCUACAAAGUCAUUGACCUGUAUUUUUCAAAAAUCAUGGCCAGAGAAGGGAAGCCUGAAGAAUUUUUCUAGAAUAAAUUAGACUGAAGAGACUCCUUGGAGGUGACUGAAUUGGAUCCUGGGCCUGUAAAGAUGGAAUCUCACUUUGUUGCCCAGGCUGGAGUGCAGUGGCGCGAUCUUGGCUCACCGCAACCUUCACCACC